CCAGACGAGAAUGCCAUAAAUAAAACUUAGAAGAAGACAAAUUCAAACGAAAAGAUGAUAAAUCAACAGUAGGAGCUGCAACAUGUGGAAGCUUCAGUUCAUCCAAAAUAUAAAGCCCCCCCUGUCUAUGGCCUGUCCCAAUCAGCCUCUUCGAUUGAGGAUCCUGCACAUAACAAUGAGUUGAAGAAAAUAAGAUUGAGAAACCAGAAUCACACAGUUGACUAACAGAAGCAAGACUUAAAGUGAGGUUAGGUAUAUAAUAAACAUCAGAGAGAGAUAGUUUAGGUGUAGAAACAGAACCAACUCCUUCCAAUAACAUAGGAGUUCCAUCAGCAGUCAUAAC
This 343-nucleotide long non-coding RNA is filed under the name Lupinus angustifolius (narrow-leaved blue lupine). RNAcentral's name for it is "long non-coding RNA (LANG_LNC000052)". The record is from RNAcentral. Lineage: Eukaryota; Viridiplantae; Streptophyta; Magnoliopsida; Fabales; Fabaceae.